Molecule: long non-coding RNA, 2775 nt
Organism: Vicia villosa (hairy vetch)
Lineage: Eukaryota; Viridiplantae; Streptophyta; Magnoliopsida; Fabales; Fabaceae
Exons: 5
Source: RefSeq, a predicted model, not a curated record
AGGAAAACCUAAUCGUGUGUUCCAAUCUUAACCUCUGUUUCUCUCUCUCGCCGUCGUGAAUCGCUCCGGGGUUUCCAGCCACCAGAAUGCUCCUGCAUCUUCGUGAGUCCUCCGUCUCCGUCUAUUCUCCAUCGUGAGUCCUCUCCUUCGAAUGCUCUUGCAUCUUCGUGAAUCAUCUCCGUCAAGCGCUUCGGCAACAUCGUGAAUCAUCGUUAUCGACUGUGUCACAUCCAUUUCGUUCAUCGGGUUGUUUCACUUUCUAUUGCGCGUUUUGUUACUCGGAUUAUAGUGUAAAUACUUAUUCUUCUCCCCUACUUCACUCCAUUUUAACCCUGGGUUCUUUGUUUCAGAGUUGAUAAAUAGUAGAUUCGAUGUUGAUGGUGAUGAGGUUAUCUAGACGAAACAGAGGACAGAAGGAAAAGAUGAUUGAAGACUUGAUCCUUACAUAAUCCAAUUGUGAGAUGACAAGAGGUAAAUAAAACCUAAUAUUUUCAAAGGUUUAUUAUAAUCUGUAUCUUGCACACAUAGUGUUUGAUAAAAGCUCUCAACCAAGUCCUUUCUUUUCUUUUGACACUGGAUUUUUGUGUUGUUGUUAUUAUUUGUUGAAGGUGAUGGUUGUUAGUUAACAGUAGUUUGUUUUGUUUGAAAAAAGAGAAAACCCAUGUGAGGAAGGUGAUGGUAUGAGAUAUGGUUUAUGUGAGUAUUGGUGUGGGGGCUGUGUUCAAAGUAGAGGAGAAGUGAUUUGUGCCGAACAACAACUGCAGGUUGUUUUUCACGGUUUCAAUUGCCUUCACUGAGUUUUUUUUGGUUAGUUUUUGUGUGUGAAAAUUAGAUCUUGUUAUGCUUUUGUUUUGUGCAUGGUGUUCUGACUGUUCUCUGUUUUAGGUGGAUUUAUUUGGUGUUUUGAUGAAGAACUUUUUAAAGCCAAACUAGGAAAAUGUGUUUAUAAGCUUUAGUUUUCAGUGGAUUUAUUUGGUGAUGGUUCAAUUCAGAAGCUUGAUGUUCAGAAGCACUUGAAGAAUUUGAACAGGCCGCCGGUUAAGUCUAUCAAGGUAGUGCCACUCUUUUUCUUAGCUUUUUGUUUCCUUUUUACUCUGUUACUUUUUCAUUAUUACAUAACGGUUUUUUCCAGAAUUCUCAUAAUCAUAAUAUAUUAGGAUAUGCUUUAGCAAUCUAUAAUCAAAGUGAUAGCUAUCAAUAUAAUCCCUCCAUUCAAACCUAUUCCUCUGUCAUAAUCAUAAUAUAUGUAAGUAAGAAUUUUCGUACGUUAUUCGAUGGAUAAUCUACACACAUAUGGAUAAUAUUUUGCUAGAGCCACAAGUUUUGUUCUUUUUUUCUUCUUCAUAAAUCCAAUAACAAGGUUCUGUUCUGGUAGCUAAAUGAAGCAUUUGUUUCUUACCCCAAUAAGUAAGAAACAAUAAGAAAAAAAAGUUUAUGAGAGCAUUCAUACCACUAGAUUUUUGGAUAAAGUAGAGGAUCCAAAUUCAAAAAUUGUUGUACGUAAGUGAGAUUAGUCAAUAUCCAUAGCACUAGAUUAUGUUCAUUUCCUUAAGUGUAACAAAAGUGGUUGUAGUCUAACGUAAAUGAGUGGACUUAUGUAUAUAUCAUUUGCAUGUUAAAUACUUUAGAGUCAUAUGUAUUCCAUAUUCUUAAAACUAGAACUCUUCAAGUGUACGUAGAAUUCAUAGCCAUUGCGGUAGAAAAGAAAUUUUUCAUGGGUUUUUUCGUGCAACUCCAUCAAUUACUCUCAAGUAAAAAAUGAUCAUAAUAAAUAAUAAAUAUCUCUUUUAAAAAAUUUAACAUUGUUGUAUGUUUAUGAUUGAGUUUGAUCUCGAAACCUCGAAUUAGGCUAUACGAAAUAAUUAUGAUUCCAUUCAAGUGCAAUUUUGGUUCGGUUCUGUCAGAAAUUGAAUUCUCAACUUGAUAAGCUUAGCUUAGCUUUCAUUUGUUGCAUUGUAUCUUGUUAAUUUGAAUUCCAAGCAAUUGUGGUUAUAGUUCUGUCUGUUAUGGUUCUCUCUAAUUCAAGAGGUUAGUCAAUGUAGUUGCAACCAAUUGUGAAGGAACCAUUCACCGCCGUCGAACCUUCUCCGGCAGCAGCAAUGGCGACUCGUGAUGGCGGUAUCAAGUAUUCAUCAAUUAAUGGUGUAAAAAUGUACACAAUAGCUUCACAGCAAUCCUCACUUGCUUCAUGGGUUCCAACUAAGCAGCAAUCUCACCAUCCUGUCAAAAAAUGUGGAUAAGAGGGUGAAGUAUGCAUACCUAAUACUGUAUGCUAAAGAAUGUGGACAAGGAUACUCUUAAGUGGAAGAUUCCUUAUUCAGUAUGUCAGAAAUUGUCCUUGGGAGAGAGGGUGAAGUCCUGUGUUGUCUCUGAAGUCGUGAUUAGACGAUCUUGAAUACCUACAUUCUAAAGGAACAAACAUCCAGAAUUCACUGCCUGGUUGGCAGAAGUAAAGCUGGGUGCUAUAACACAUGAAGAUUUUGAAGGACACAAAGGAACCAUAGAAGCUGGUGACUUGCAGUGGAUGACUGCUGCUCAAGGAAUCCAAAAGGGUUUGCAGCUAUGGAUAAACCUUGCUUCCCAACAUAAAAUUGUUCAUAGUUGCUCGCCUGUUGGUCCAAGAUUUAAUGUCAAAGUGCAUGAUGGUUUGAACAUAACUCUAAUUGUAGAUGCUUUUGAAGCAUCAUGAUGGUGGACACUAGAUCCUUUUCUUAGAAUAUUUUGAGAUGAGGAUAAAUAUGUUUUUUUGUAAUUGAUUAAUAUUAUUGGUUUAGA